This 260-nucleotide ribosomal RNA is filed under the name Escherichia coli. RNAcentral's name for it is "partial 23S ribosomal RNA". It matches the Rfam family "Bacterial large subunit ribosomal RNA", at positions 1104 to 1362 of the family's 2925-position model. Lineage: Bacteria; Pseudomonadati; Pseudomonadota; Gammaproteobacteria; Enterobacterales; Enterobacteriaceae. The record is from RNAcentral.
GCUUAGAAGCAGCCAUCAUUUAAAGAAAGCGUAAUAGCUCACUGGUCGAGUCGGCCUGCGCGGAAGAUGUAACGGGGCUAAACCAUGCACCGAAGCUGCGGCAGCGACGCUGAUGCGUUGUUGGGUAGGGGAGCGUUCUGUAAGCCUGUGAAGGUGUGCUGUGAGGCAUGCUGGAGGUAUCAGAAGUGCGAAUGCUGACAUAAGUAACGAUAAAGCGGGUGAAAAGCCCGCUCGCCGGAAGACCAAGGGUUCCUGUCCAA